GCCGGGUGUGGUGGCGCGUGCCCGUAGUCCCAGCUAUUCAGGAGGCUGAGGCAGGAGGAUCACUUGAGCCCAGGAGUUCUGGGCUGUGGUGUGCUAUGCCAAUUGGGUGUCCACAAUAAGUUUGGCAUCAAUAUGGUGACCUCCUUAAGCAGGGGACCACAAGCUUGCCCAAGAAGGGGUGAAUCGGCCCAGGGUGGACACAGAGUAGGUCAAAACUUCAGUGCUGAUCAGUAGUGGGAUCGAGCCUGGGAAGAGCUACUGUGCUCCAGCCUGGGCAACACAGCAAGACCCUGUCUCU
Molecule: signal recognition particle RNA, 298 nt
Filed under: Microcebus murinus (gray mouse lemur)
Lineage: Eukaryota; Metazoa; Chordata; Mammalia; Primates; Cheirogaleidae
Description: Metazoan signal recognition particle RNA (ENSMICG00000047010.1)
Rfam family: Metazoan signal recognition particle RNA
About the family: The signal recognition particle (SRP) is a universally conserved ribonucleoprotein. It is involved in the co-translational targeting of proteins to membranes.
Source: RNAcentral